GCUCCGAUCAUCCCUCUCCCUCCGUUCUCUCCCCCAAUCGAUGGCGGCAACCACCGCCGAGUUAAAGACUCCAUGGUCUCGCCUUCUCUCCCUCCAACCAUUCCUCCGCUCUCCCAUCCGUCGUGCAGGGGCUUCUGCCCGAGGUGGAGCGGGAGAAGCAGCUGGCUCAUGGGAAAUGCUUCCAAUAUCUUCGUUAUAUGGGGCGUCGCAGAUAUCGCGCAAUUGCUCAUGCAAUCCAAUCCAUGUCUGAGAAGAUAAAGGCAGCCCAUCUACAUGUGCAAGUAAUAAGGAGAACAGGCAAAAGUUGACCUGGGGUGGAGUUCACAUUCCUGUUGAUGUAGUAGGUCUAUCUCUCCACGAAGCAUAUUGGGGAAAUACUUGUUGGAUUAAGGUCAACUUGUUUCUAAGAUUUGAUACUAUGAAGUGCCAGGGACAUGAUAUUUAGUGUUCAUGUGUUUUAUCAGGACAUUGGAUCAUGCAAUCAUCACCGAAGUUCUUGAGAAACUUUACAAUGGUUAGUCUUUUUUGUUGCUGUCAUUCUGGUGAAUCAAAUCAAUGAAUCUUUUCUUGCUGA
This is a long non-coding RNA of Musa acuminata subsp. malaccensis (wild Malaysian banana), 574 nucleotides long. RefSeq lists it as uncharacterized. Lineage: Eukaryota; Viridiplantae; Streptophyta; Magnoliopsida; Zingiberales; Musaceae. The record is from RefSeq and is a predicted model, not a curated record.